Molecule: ribosomal RNA, 500 nt
Filed under: uncultured bacterium
Lineage: Bacteria
Description: partial 16S ribosomal RNA
Rfam family: Bacterial small subunit ribosomal RNA
Source: RNAcentral
GAUGAACACUAGCGGCAGGCUUAAUACAUGCAAGUCGUGGGGCAGCAUGAGUAGCAAUACUUGAUGGCGACCGGCAAACGGGUGCGGAACACGUACACAACCUUCCGAUAAGUGGGGAAUAGCCCAGAGAAAUUUGGAUUAAUACCCCGUAACACAUAGAGUAGGCAUCUUCUUUAUAUUAUAGCUUCGGCGCUUAUUGAUGGGUGUGCGUCUGAUUAGGUAGUUGGCGGGGUAACGGCCCACCAAGCCUACGAUCAGUAGCUGAUGUGAGAGCAUGAUCAGCCACACGGGCACUGAGACACGGGCCCGACUCCUACGGGAGGCAGCAGUAAGGAAUAUUGGACAAUGGGCGAAAGCCUGAUCCAGCCAUGCCGCGUGAAGGAUUAAGGUCCUCUGGAUUGUAAACUUCUUUUAUUUGGGACGAAAAAAGGGAAUUCUUUCCCACUUGACGGUACCAAGUGAAUAAGCACCGGCUAACUCCGUGCCAGCCGCCGCGGUAA